GGGGGAGUACCAAAUUAUUGAAAGGCGGGGGCUGGACCUCUCGGGGUUACAGCCUUGCUGAAUUAUUCACCCUUGUCUUUUGCGUACUUCUUGUUUCCUUGGUGGGUUCGCCCACCACUAGGACAAACAUAAACCUUUUGUAAUUGCAAUCAGCGUCAGUAACAAAUUAAUAAUUACAACUUUCAACAACGGAUCUCUUGGUUCUGGCAUCGAUGAAGAACGCAGCGAAAUGCGAUAAGUAGUGUGAAUUGCAGAAUUCAGUGAAUCAUCGAAUCUUUGAACGCACAUUGCGCCCUUUGGUAUUCCAAAGGGCAUGCCUGUUCGAGCGUCAUUUGUACCCUCAAGCUUUGCUUGGUGUUGGGCGUCUUGUCUCUAGCUUUGCUGGAGACUCGCCUUAAAGUAAUUGGCAGCCGGCCUACUGGUUUCGGAGCGCAGCACAAGUCGCACUCUCUAUCAGCAAAGGUCUAGCAUCCAUUAAGCCUUUUUUUCAACUUUUGACCUCGGAUCAGGUAGGGAUACCCGCUGAACUUAAGCAUAUCAAUAAAGCGGAGA
Molecule: ribosomal RNA, 552 nt
Filed under: Alternaria alternata f. sp. mali
Lineage: Eukaryota; Fungi; Ascomycota; Dothideomycetes; Pleosporales; Pleosporaceae
Description: eukaryotic LSU rRNA
Rfam family: 5.8S ribosomal RNA (bases 178-331)
Source: RNAcentral